This 243-nucleotide ribosomal RNA is filed under the name uncultured bacterium. RNAcentral's name for it is "partial small subunit ribosomal RNA". It matches the Rfam family "Bacterial small subunit ribosomal RNA", at positions 26 to 285 of the family's 1533-position model. The record is from RNAcentral.
AGAAUCAACGCUGGCGGCGUGCCUAACACAUGCAAGUCGAACGAGAAAGUGGAGCAAUCCAUGAGUAAAGUGGCGACCGGGUGAGUAACACGUGACUAACCUACCUCCGAGUGGGGAAUAACUCCGGGAAACCGGGGCUAAUACCGCAUAACAUCGCAAGAUCAAAGCAGCAAUGCGCUUGGAGAGGGGGUCGCGGCUGAUUAGCUAGUUGGCGGGGUAACGCCCACAAGGCGAAGAUCGGUA